GAUACCCGAAUUCCAUCCGUUGGAGCUUAAACCCUCGGAAAAAACCUAGUCGGCGCUGAUGUCGUAUUCUCUUUCUCCCUUUCCACUUCAAAUUUUCUUCAUUGCCGAUAACUCAGAGACUCCCCAAUCAGCCGAAAAAACUCUUCAAUAAAGCUAUAAUUUUGAGCACUGGAAAUGCUCUCAGUAUAUAGGAGCAGCUCAGUUGAGUGGAAGCCAUCACCGGUGGUAGCUUUAGCUACCAUCGCCGACGAUUUUCAAGUAGCUGCCGCUCGUGAAGACGGCUCCCUUGAGAUUUGGCUCGUUUCUCCUGGCUCUGUCGGCUGGCACUGUCAGCUGCGCCGAUGAUUCUCAAGUUGCUGCCGCUCGUGAAGACGGCUCUCUUGAGAUUUGGCUCGUUUCUCCUGGCUCUGUCGGCUGGCACUGUCAGCUCGUACGUACAUAUAUACUUAUAU
This 452-nucleotide long non-coding RNA is filed under the name Nicotiana benthamiana. RNAcentral describes it as "long non-coding RNA (NBEN_LNC011021)". Lineage: Eukaryota; Viridiplantae; Streptophyta; Magnoliopsida; Solanales; Solanaceae. The record is from RNAcentral.